UACGUAGGGUGCGAGCGUUAAUCGGAAUUACUGGGCGUAAAGGGCGCGUAGGCGGCCACUGCAAGUCAGUUGUGAAAUCUCCGGGCUUAACCCGGAAAGGUCAACUGAUACUGCAGGGCUAGAGUGCAGAAGGGGCAACUGGAAUUCUCGGUGUAGCGGUGAAAUGCGUAGAUAUCGAGAGGAACACCUGCGGCGAAGGCGGGUUGCUGGGCUGACACUGACGCUGAUGUGCGAAAGCUAGGGGAGCGAACGGG
This 254-nucleotide ribosomal RNA is filed under the name uncultured bacterium. RNAcentral describes it as "partial 16S ribosomal RNA". It matches the Rfam family "Bacterial small subunit ribosomal RNA", at positions 524 to 776 of the family's 1533-position model. The record is from RNAcentral.